RNAcentral lists this ribosomal RNA (408 nucleotides) under uncultured Chloroflexota bacterium. Its description in RNAcentral is "bacterial SSU rRNA". It matches the Rfam family "Bacterial small subunit ribosomal RNA", at positions 521 to 926 of the family's 1533-position model. Lineage: Bacteria; Bacillati; Chloroflexota. The record is from RNAcentral.
UAAAACGUAGGAGGCGAGCGUUAUCCGGAUUUACUGGGUGUAAAGCGCGUGCAGGCGGUCGUGUAAGUGGUGCGUGAAAGCUCCCGGCUCAACCGGGAGAGGACGUGCCAAACUGCAGGGCUAGAGGCAGGUAGAGGCGUGUGGAAUUCCGGGUGUAGUGGUGAAAUGCGUAGAGAUCCGGAGGAACACCAGUGGCGAAGGCGACACGCUGGGCCUGGCCUGACGCUCAGACGCGAAAGCAUGGGGAGCGAACGGGAUUAGAAACCCCGGUAGUCCAUGCUGUAAACGAUGCUGACUAGGUGUUGCGGGUGAGAUACUCCGGCAGUGCCGAAGCCAACGUGGUAAGUCAGCCACCUGGGGACUACGGCCGCAAGGUUAAAACUCAAAGGAAUUGACGGGGGCCCGCAC